AUGGGCCCCACAGAUCCAACCCCACGGGCCCCACAGAUCCAAGCAAGAGACCUGGGAACAAUCACCCCACAGAUCCCACUCCAAGGGCCCCAUAGAUCCUAUCCUAAUGGACCCCGCAGAUCCAACAGAACUGAGAUCACCCCACAGAUCCCACCCCGGGGGCCCCACAGAUGCUACCCUGAAAGACCCCAGAGACAGACGCCCCACGGGCCCCACAGAUCCAAGCAAGAGACCCGGGAACAAUCACCCCACAGCUCCCACCCCACGGGCCCCACAGAUCUUAUCCUAACCAACAAUCCCACAGCUCCCACCCCACGGGCCCCACAGAUCUUAUCCUAACCGACCGCCCCACAGAUCGAACCCAGCGGGCCCCGCUGAUCCAACCCCCCCCCACCGCGCCCCACAGAUGGCACCCGACGCGCCCUAGGGCUCCUGCGCCCCACACAUCCUCGCCUGCUACGGCCGCAAGCCGCGGCGCCCCACACCGCCCCCCAAGCGCAGCUCACCUGUGGGGCCCCCGG
This 521-nucleotide long non-coding RNA is filed under the name Numida meleagris (helmeted guineafowl). RNAcentral describes it as "lncRNA (ENSNMEG00000003826.1)". Lineage: Eukaryota; Metazoa; Chordata; Aves; Galliformes; Numididae. The record is from RNAcentral.